Molecule: Y RNA, 113 nt
Organism: Pongo abelii (Sumatran orangutan)
Lineage: Eukaryota; Metazoa; Chordata; Mammalia; Primates; Hominidae
Rfam family: Y RNA
About the family: Y RNAs are components of the Ro ribonucleoprotein particle (Ro RNP), in association with Ro60 and La proteins. The Y RNAs and Ro60 and La proteins are well conserved, but the function of the Ro RNP is not known.
Source: Ensembl
GGCUGGCCCAAAGGUACUGAGUUAUCUCAGUGGACUGUUUUCAGUCAGUUACAGAUGCAACUCCUUGUUCUACUCUUUCUCCCGUUCUCACUACUACACUUCACUAGUCUUAA